UGCCAGACUCCUACGGGAGGCAGCAGUGGGGGAUAUUGCACAAUGGGGGGAACCCUGAUGCAGCGACGCCGCGUGGGUGAAGGAGCACCUCGGUGCGUAAAGCCCUAUCGGCAGGGAAGAAACAGACGGUACCUGACUAAGAGGCCCCGGCUAACUACGUGCCAGCAGCCGCGGCAAUACGUAGGGGGCAAGCGUUAUCCGGAUUUACUGGGUGUAAAGGGAGCGUAGACGGCAGUGCAAGUCCGGAGUGAAAGCCCGGGGCUCAACCCUGGGACUGCUCUGGAAACUGUAAAGCUGGAGUGCGGGAGGGGCAGGCGGAAUUCCUGGUGUAGCGGUGAAAUGCGUAGAUAUCAGGAGGAACACCGGCGGCGAAGGCGGCCUGCUGGACUGCGACUGACGUUGAGGCUCGAAAGCGUGGGGAGCGAACAGGAUUAGAUACCCCAGUAA
RNAcentral lists this ribosomal RNA (447 nucleotides) under uncultured bacterium. RNAcentral's name for it is "partial 16S ribosomal RNA". It matches the Rfam family "Bacterial small subunit ribosomal RNA", at positions 329 to 793 of the family's 1533-position model. The record is from RNAcentral.